GUGUUCUAAGGUUUUACUACUUUAGGUCAGUAUAGAUAGGUUUCUACAAGUAAUAAGGAGGGAAAACAUUUGGGAAGUAAGUCUCUUUAUGGUGACACACAGAUAACACCUGAUGAAUUUUGAAGAAAGAGAAGACCUACACAUGGCAGAAAUGGAGAUCAAUGUAUUCUAGGAUUGAGAGAUGGUAUAUGUGUAUAGAGGCAGGACCACUGAAAGAGAAACUUCAUUACUAAUGAGGCAGGGAAGCAUACCUAAUUGAGCCAGCAAAACACCCGGAAGGGAAAAAGUGACAUGUGCUGGGCAAAUCAAACCACCAUCUCAUGCAGACAGCCCAGGACCUAGAACCCAAGAGAGCUGGGAAAAUCAAUACCCCCACAAAUUACUAAUUUGUUUAUAGCCAGGGAUCCACCAUCAUCUCUGAGGGGAUAAUUACUAUGGAGAAAGUAUCUAACUUCCUUGACCACAACAAACAUAUAAUGCUGAUCAAUCAAUAAGGAAUCGAAAGUUAUUCUGAGAUCCUGGGCACAGUCAGACCACUAUUUC
Molecule: long non-coding RNA, 543 nt
Filed under: Monodelphis domestica (gray short-tailed opossum)
Lineage: Eukaryota; Metazoa; Chordata; Mammalia; Didelphimorphia; Didelphidae
Description: lncRNA (ENSMODG00000041869.1)
Source: RNAcentral